This 481-nucleotide ribosomal RNA is filed under the name uncultured bacterium. Its description in RNAcentral is "partial 16S ribosomal RNA". It matches the Rfam family "Bacterial small subunit ribosomal RNA", at positions 28 to 507 of the family's 1533-position model. The record is from RNAcentral.
GAUGAACGCUGGCGGCGUGCUUAGCACAUGCAAGUCGAACGAAGCAUUUGCGACAGAUUUUUUCGGAAUGAAGUUGCUUAUGACUGAGUGGCGGACGGGUGAGUAACGCGUGGGUAACCUGCCUUGUACUGGGGGAUAGCAGCUGGAAACGGCUGGUAAUACCGCAUAAGCGCACAAUGUUGCAUGACAUGGUGUGAAAAACUCCGGUGGUAUAAGAUGGACCCGCGUCUGAUUAGCUAGUUGGUGAGAUAACAGCCCACCAAGGCGACGAUCAGUAGCCGACCUGAGAGGGUGACCGGCCACAUUGGGACUGAGACACGGCCCAGACUCCUACGGGAGGCAGCAGUGGGGAAUAUUGCACAAUGGAGGAAACUCUGAUGCAGCGACGCCGCGUGAGUGAAGAAGUAAUUCGUUAUGUAAAGCUCUAUCAGCAGGGAAGAUAGUGACGGUACCCGACUAAGAAGCUCCGGCUAAAUACGUG